Molecule: transfer RNA, 76 nt
Filed under: Methylococcales bacterium
Lineage: Bacteria; Pseudomonadati; Pseudomonadota; Gammaproteobacteria; Methylococcales
Also listed under: 1 other name
Description: tRNA-Thr
Rfam family: tRNA
About the family: Transfer RNA (tRNA) molecules are approximately 80 nucleotides in length.
Source: RNAcentral
GCUGGUGUAGCUCAGUCGGUAGAGCAGCUGAUUUGUAAUCAGCCGGUCAGGAGUUCGAAUCCCCUCACUAGCUCCA